AACGUAGGAGACAAACGUUAUCCGGAGUUACUGGGCGUAAAGGGCGUGUAGGUGGUUUCGUAAGUCUGGCGUGAAAUUUUUCGGCUUAACCGGGAAAGGUCGUCGGAUACUGCGGAACUAGAGGACGGUAGAGGCGUGUGGAAUUCCAGGUGUAGCGGUGAAAUGCGUAGAUAUCUGGAGGAACACCGGUGGCGAAGGCGGCAUCCUGGACCGGCAUUGACGCUGAGGCGCGAAAGCCAGGGGAGCAAACAGG
Molecule: ribosomal RNA, 253 nt
Filed under: uncultured bacterium
Lineage: Bacteria
Description: partial 16S ribosomal RNA
Rfam family: Bacterial small subunit ribosomal RNA
Source: RNAcentral